AUGUGUUGUCCAUGCCCUAAAUGUGGGAAUACGAAGUCUUACUCUGACCGGAAAAUCCUUCACACCCACCUGCUUUACAAGGGUUUCAUGCCACACUAUAAUGUUUGGACGAGGCACGGAGAAAUAGGGUUUAUGAUGGAAGACGGCGAAGAAGAAGAGGACGAUGACAACUAUGUGCCCCCUGAAUACGGUGAUGCUGCAACGGGGGAAGCUGCUGAAGAUCAAGAGGAACCAGACGAUGUGCCCAAUGAUGCUGCAACAAGGGAAGCUGCUGAAGAUCAAGAGGAACCAGUGCCCGAUGAUGAUGAUCUCCGCCGGGUCAUUGUCGAUGCAAGGACGCAAUGCGAAAGUCAAAAGGAGAAGCUGAAGUUCGAUCGCAUGUUAGAGGAUCACAAAAAAGGGUUGUACCCCAAUUGCGAAGAUGGCAACACAAAGCUCGGUACCGUACUAGAAUUGCUGCAGUGGAAGGCAGAGAAUGCUGUGCCUGACAAAGGUUUGAGAAGCUAUUGA
Molecule: ribosomal RNA, 510 nt
Filed under: Triticum aestivum (bread wheat)
Lineage: Eukaryota; Viridiplantae; Streptophyta; Magnoliopsida; Poales; Poaceae
Description: partial small subunit ribosomal RNA
Source: RNAcentral